GAGAAGGAGGAGGAGGGGGAGGCCACAAACUCAACAGUCCCCAGGAUCACACCUCUGCCUGACACCUACGGGACCCAGUACUAUGGCUAAACCAGGCCUGAACAUGGAGCUGAAUCGCCUGGUCCAGGACCAGCCACCUGGCCAGGAGGGCCCCAGACCUGGCCCCCCAAACCCAGCCGAGCACCUCCCCAAUGUGCCCAGCUACCGUCCCGCAACCACCCGCAUCCCCGUCCUCGUCUCCCGGAGGACAGCCUUGUCCAACUCCAACUUCACCAAGGAGAUCAGGAGCUCCAUCCGUCGCCUGGUACCAGCCACGAAAGAGCACCCAGAGCUCCAGGUGGAAGACACAGAUGCCGAAGCUGGCCCCCUCAUCCCAGAGGAGACGAUCCCGCCACCUGAGAGACCACCAGUGUCUCCCGC
This 420-nucleotide long non-coding RNA is filed under the name Rattus norvegicus (Norway rat). Its description in RNAcentral is "long non-coding RNA NONRATT014021". Lineage: Eukaryota; Metazoa; Chordata; Mammalia; Rodentia; Muridae. The record is from RNAcentral.